AGUCACGAGUUUGAUCCUGGCUCAGAUUGAACGCUGGCGGAAUGCUUUACACAUGCAAGUCGAACGGUAGAGGGGGCAACCCUUGAGAGUGGCGAACGGGUGAGUAAUAUAUCGGAACGUGCCCAGUCGUGGGGGAUAACGUAGCGAAAGUUACGCUAAUACCGCAUACGAUCUAAGGAUGAAAGCGGGGGAUCGCAAGACCUCGCGCGAUUGGAGCGGCCGAUAUCAGAUUAGGUAGUUGGUGGGGUAAAGGCUCACCAAGCCAACGAUCUGUAGCUGGUCUGAGAGGACGACCAGCCACACUGGAACUGAGACACGGUCCAGACUCCUACGGGAGGCAGCAGUGGGGAAUUUUGGACAAUGGACGCAAGUCUGAUCCAGCCAUUCCGCGUGCAGGAUGAAGGCCCUCGGGUUGUAAACUGCUUUUGUACGGAACGAAAAGGUUUCUCUUAAUACGAGGAGCUCAUGACGGUACCGUAAGAAUAAGCACCGGCUAACUACGUG
RNAcentral lists this ribosomal RNA (504 nucleotides) under uncultured bacterium. RNAcentral's name for it is "bacterial SSU rRNA". It matches the Rfam family "Bacterial small subunit ribosomal RNA", at positions 1 to 507 of the family's 1533-position model. The record is from RNAcentral.